ACUAAUGCUCUCCUGCACGCACCCAACAGACCCUGCAUGGUAUCAGACCUGGCCAGGCCCUGGGAGCAAGCCCUCUGCAAGCACAAAGAUCCCUGCCUCCCAGCACACCCAGAACUGGUCAGCCACGUGGACCAAGGACAGCAAGCGUCAGGACAAGCGCUGGGUCAAGUACGAGGGAAUCGGGCCCGUGGAUGAGAGCGGCAUGCCUAUUGCCCCCCGAUCCAGUGUUGACAGACCCAGAGACUGGUACCGGAGAAUGUUCCAGCAGAUUCACCGGAAAAUGCCAGACCUGCAGCUGGACUGGACCUUCGAGGAGCCACCCAGAGACCCCAGGCAUCUAGGAGCCCAGCAAAGACCUGCCCACAGACCCGGCCCGGCAGCAUCUUCCAGUGGAAGAAGCUGGGACCACUCUGAAGAGUUACCUAGAAGCACCUUCAACUACAGACCUGGAGCAUUCUCCACUGUGCUGCAGCCCCCAAAUCAGGUGCUCAGACGCCGGGAAAAAGUAGACAAUGUCUGGACGGAAGAGUCCUGGAACCAGUUUCUGCAGGAACUAGAGACUGG
This 564-nucleotide small RNA is filed under the name Pan troglodytes (chimpanzee). RNAcentral describes it as "retained intron". The record is from RNAcentral. Lineage: Eukaryota; Metazoa; Chordata; Mammalia; Primates; Hominidae.